UAAGGAAUAUUGGUCAAUGGAGGCAACUCUGAACCAGCCAUGCCGCGUGAAGGAAGAAGGCGCUAUGCGUUGUAAACUUCUUUUGGGUGGGAAGAAAAUGGUCAAUUUAUUGGCAACUGACGGUACCAUCAGAAUAAGCACCGGCUAACUCCGUGCCAGCAGCCGCGGUAAUACGGAGGGUGCAAGCGUUAUCCGGAAUCACUGGGUUUAAAGGGUGCGUAGGUGGCUUUAUAAGUCAGCUGUGAAAUGU
Molecule: ribosomal RNA, 250 nt
Filed under: uncultured bacterium
Lineage: Bacteria
Description: partial 16S ribosomal RNA
Rfam family: Bacterial small subunit ribosomal RNA
Source: RNAcentral